AUUCCCCAGUAACGGCGAGUGAACAGGGAAAAGCUCAAAGUUGGAAGCUCCUGGCCCUAGGCUAGGCGCAUUGUAAACUAAAGCUGUAAAGUAGUUCGGUUGGCCUGGUAAAAAAGUUCCCUGGAAUGGGGCGACAUGGAGGGUGAAAUCCCCGUCUUUGGCCAGAGUUCAGCCGUGCGUUUGCUUUGCUGCGAAGAGUCAGGUUGUUUGGGAAUGCAGCCUAAAAUGGGAGGUAGACUUCUCCUAAAGCUAAAUAUUGACGAAAGACCGAUAGCGAACAAGUACCGUGAGGGAAAGAUGAAAAGCACUUUGAAAAGAGGGUCAAAAAGUACGUGAAAUUGCUGAAAGGGAACCGUAUGAAAUCAGCCUGAUGUGUGGGUAAUCAGCCUGGGCUUUGGCCUGGGUGCACUUGCCCAUGUAUUAGCCUGCGACAGUUUGACCUGGGGGAAAAAAGAUGGGGGAAUGUGGCCUCGGCUUCGGUCGUGGUGUUAUAGCCCCUGUCAAAAUACCUUGGGUUGGACUGAGGACUGCAGCGAGCCGUAAGGCAUGGGUCUCGGGCGCUCUGUCUCGGCGAAAAGUGAAUCUCUGCUUCGGGUGGUGCGCUUUUCUUCAGGGCAGACUCGUCUGUUUCUUCUUUCUCUCGCUUAGGUCGUAGGCAUAAUGAUUUUAUAUGACCCGUCUUGAAACACGGACCAAGGAGUCCACCAUAGUUGCGAGUCUUUGAGUGUAAAAACCCAUGGGCGUAAGGAAACUGACCAAGAUAUGAAGGCCUUUUUGCCUGCCAAAAUCCUCCCGGCCGAGGACCGUUUUUAUUACUGGAAUUGAUCGAGAAGAAAGCACCUAAUGAUGGGGACCCGGAAAGAAUGGUGGAACUAUUACUUUGAAUAGGGUGGAAGGCCAGGAGGAACUCCUGGGUGGAAGCUUCGUAGCCGAUUCUGGACGUGCAAUCGAUCGUCGAUUUGGGUUAUAGGGGGCGAAAAGACUAAUCGAAUCAUCUAGGUAGCUGGGUCUGCGAGU
Molecule: ribosomal RNA, 1017 nt
Filed under: Absidia glauca
Lineage: Eukaryota; Fungi; Mucoromycota; Mucoromycetes; Mucorales; Cunninghamellaceae
Description: LSU rRNA
Rfam family: Eukaryotic large subunit ribosomal RNA
Source: RNAcentral